Molecule: transfer RNA, 75 nt
Filed under: Patescibacteria group bacterium
Lineage: Bacteria
Description: tRNA-Arg
Rfam family: tRNA
About the family: Transfer RNA (tRNA) molecules are approximately 80 nucleotides in length. Their secondary structure includes four short double-helical elements and three loops (D, anti-codon, and T loops).
Source: RNAcentral
GCCCUUGUAGUUAAAUGGAUAUAACAGUUCCGUCCUAAGGAAUAGUUGCAGGUUCGAUUCCUGCCAAGGGCACCA